UAUUAUUAAAAUUGUAGAAAUGUAAAGCUUGAGUAGUAAUAGUUAAGGUCUUGAAACUUAAAGAAUUUGGCGGUAUUUUAGUCCUUUCAGAGGAAUCUGUCCUGUAAUCGAUAUUACACGUUAAAUUUUACUUAAUUUAGUUUAAGCUUGUAUACCGCCGUUAUAAGAAUAUUUUUUAAGAAUUAUUUUCUUGAAAUUAAGUAAAUAGUAUGUCAGGUCAAGGUGCAGUUUAUGGUUAAGUGGAGAUGGAUUACAAUAAUUUUAUUUAUACGGAUUUAAUUUAGUGUAACUGGUUAAUGAAGGUGGAUUUGAUAGUAAUUUUAUUAAAAUAUGAUAAAGUGAAUUAGGCUCUAAAAUGUGCACAUAUCGCCCGUCACUCUCAUUUAAAAUGAG
RNAcentral lists this ribosomal RNA (393 nucleotides) under Steirodon robertsorum. Its description in RNAcentral is "partial 12S ribosomal RNA". It matches the Rfam family "Microsporidia small subunit ribosomal RNA", at positions 752 to 1263 of the family's 1311-position model. The record is from RNAcentral. Lineage: Eukaryota; Metazoa; Arthropoda; Insecta; Orthoptera; Tettigoniidae.